This 255-nucleotide ribosomal RNA is filed under the name Pseudomonas aeruginosa. RNAcentral's name for it is "partial 23S ribosomal RNA". It matches the Rfam family "Bacterial large subunit ribosomal RNA", at positions 1513 to 1762 of the family's 2925-position model. Lineage: Bacteria; Pseudomonadati; Pseudomonadota; Gammaproteobacteria; Pseudomonadales; Pseudomonadaceae. The record is from RNAcentral.
UAAGGUGGUAGGCUGAAAUCUUAGGUAAAUCCGGGGUUUCAAGGCCGAGAGCUGAUGACGAGUCGUCUUUUAGAUGACGAAGUGGUUGAUGCCAUGCUUCCAAGAAAAGCUUCUAAGCUUCAGGUAACCAGGAACCGUACCCCAAACCGACACAGGUGGUCGGGUAGAGAAUACCAAGGCGCUUGAGAGAACUCGGGUGAAGGAACUAGGCAAAAUGGCACCGUAACUUCGGGAGAAGGUGCGCCGGCUAGGGUG